Echinops telfairi (small Madagascar hedgehog) is the source of this 91-nucleotide microRNA precursor. Lineage: Eukaryota; Metazoa; Chordata; Mammalia; Afrosoricida; Tenrecidae. The record is from Ensembl.
UUCGAGGAUAUUUGAGGGGAGGUUAUCCGUGUUCUGUUCGUGUCAUUCGUCAUGAAUAAUACAUGGAUAACCUCUUUUUGAAUAUCAGACU